CCCACGACUGCAAAACGCGAAGAACCUUACCAAGGCUUGACAUACACCGGAAACAUCCAGAGAUGGGUGCCCCCUUGUGGUCGGUGUACAGGUGGUGCAUGGCUGUCGUCAGCUCGUGUCGUGAGAUGUUGGGUUAAGUCCCGCAACGAGCGCAACCCUUGUCCCGUGUUGCCAGCAGGCCCUUGUGGUGCUGGGGACUCACGGGAGACCGCCGGGGUCAACUCGGAGGAAGGUGGGGACGACGUCAAGUCAUCAUGCCCCUUAUGUCUUGGGCUGCACACGUGCUACAAUGGCCGGUACAAAGAGCUGCGAUACCGUGAGGUGGAGCGAAUCUCAAAAAGCCGGUCUCAGUUCGGAUUGGGGUCUGCAACUCGACCCCAUGAAGUCGGAAUCGCUAGUAAUCGCGAAUCAGAAUGUCGCGGUGAAUACGUUCCCGGGUCUUGUACACACCG
RNAcentral lists this ribosomal RNA (452 nucleotides) under uncultured bacterium. RNAcentral describes it as "bacterial SSU rRNA". It matches the Rfam family "Bacterial small subunit ribosomal RNA", at positions 945 to 1392 of the family's 1533-position model. The record is from RNAcentral.